UACGGAGGAUGCGAGCGUUAUCCGGAUUUAUUGGGUUUAAAGGGUGCGUAGGCGGCGAGUUAAGUCAGCGGUAAAAGCCCGGGGCUCAACUGCGGGACUGCUUUUGAAACUGCCAAGCUAGAGUGUCGGAGAGGUAAGUGGAAUUCCUAGUGUAGCGGUGAAAUGCGUAGAUAUUAGGAGGAACACCAGUGGCGAAGGCGGCUUACUGGACGAUGACUGACGCUGAGGCUCGAAAGCGUGGGGAGCAAACAGG
RNAcentral lists this ribosomal RNA (253 nucleotides) under uncultured Eubacteriales bacterium. RNAcentral's name for it is "uncultured Clostridiales bacterium partial 16S ribosomal RNA". It matches the Rfam family "Bacterial small subunit ribosomal RNA", at positions 524 to 776 of the family's 1533-position model. Lineage: Bacteria; Bacillati; Bacillota; Clostridia; Eubacteriales. The record is from RNAcentral.